This 120-nucleotide ribosomal RNA is filed under the name uncultured bacterium. Its description in RNAcentral is "partial 16S ribosomal RNA". It matches the Rfam family "Bacterial small subunit ribosomal RNA", at positions 29 to 159 of the family's 1533-position model. The record is from RNAcentral.
AACGAACGCUGGCGGCAGGCCUAACACAUGCAAGUCGAGCGCUCCAGCAAUGGAGAGCGGCAGACGGGUGAGUAACGCGUGGGAACCUACCUAGUGGUGCGGAAUAGCCCAGGGAAACUU